CAUGGCGGGAGUAGUUUUGACUUGGGACUGCAGACCUUCUCCACUGGCAUUUAAGAAGUGUGCUGUUCUUGCGAGAAAUAACAGCAGUGCAGCCGCUUUGGUGCCCUGUGUGGGUGCCGGCCCAGACCUUGCUUAGUGGUCCCCUCCGGGUGGAGACCUGCUGCUGCACCCUGCCUUUGACGAUGCCCGACCGUCACCCUGCCUUUGACGAUGCCCGACCCUCCCCCCGCAUGGCAGUGGCGGGUGAGGGGUGAGUGGGUCAUGGCAACAGUGGAGACACCUGUGCUGUCUAAGGAGGGACAAGAAGCUGCUUACGAGCCUCAUGCCCGCCCCAGUGCUCAGCGUGGCCUCCUCACAGGUCUUGUUCCGAGCGAGUGGCGGCAAGCCCAUCGCCGUGCUCUGCCUGACCGUGGAGCUGCAGCCCCACGUGGUGGACCAGGUCUUCCGCUUCUAUCACCCGGAGCUCUCCUUCCUGAAGAAGGCCAUCCGCCUGCCGCCCUGGCACACACUUCCAGGUGCUCGGGUGGGAAUGCUUGGUGAGGACCCCCCAGUCCACGUUCGCUGCAGCGACCCGAAUGUCAUCUGUGAGACCCAGAAUGUGGGCCCCGGGGAGCCACGGGACAUAUUUCUGAAGGUAGCCAGUGGUCCGAGCCCGGAGAUCAAAGACUUCUUUGUCAUCAUUUACUCGUAAGUGCACAGGCUUCGGGGACCUUGGGGCGGUGGCAGAGGAGAGGAGGAGGCAGGCCUGGGGCUGCUGGUGGAUUCAAAGUAGGCUUGGCCCCUUCCUAAACUUGGAGCUGUCGGGCCUUCACUUUGUGAGGCAGGAUUCUGCUGCGAGUUCAGGGCCCGCAGGGGCCUAGGGAAGGCAUCCUGGAGGGGCACGUGCAGCCUGAGUGACUUGGGAUGCAGCUUGUGCCACCAAGGAAAGACACCAGUCAGCCUCUGUCCCCAGAUAGUGGCAAGGGCCACCCAGAAGCCCCUCGUUACCUUUUUAUUGCUGAGUCCCUAGGCUGAACAGCGUGACUGAAGCUGUGGUCCCUCCUGCGGAGAGGCAGGACUGUGGUGGAAAUGCCCGUCCCUCUCUCCUCCAGGCUAAAUGACCCAACCCCUUUCCCCUCCCCUCCUAAGGAUCCCCAAGCCGUGUGAGAAUCCUUUCAAACUGGUGUGAGCUGAGAGAUUUCCUGCAGUGCUUCUGAGGACGAGUCAGGGGCUAACCUGCACUGAGUGCCCACCAGAGGAUGAGGGGCCACGUGACCACGUCUCAGAGUGGCUUCCUCGUGAGCCCAUGAAGAUGCCUCACCCAGCCCCAUUUGAAUACGAAGCAGCAGGCUCUUGGCCCUAAAAUGCUAACAGGGGCUUCCGUGCUCAGGCCGGCAUGACCUCCAGCCCCACCCUGUCUCCUGUGUGGUGCUGCCCUUGGCUUUGCCUCAGAACCUCUAUUGGGGGUGGACACUUGUCCAGGAUGUGUGUUUGGUGAAAGCGUGCCUUGUCGUUUGUUUGACAUGUGGUUCCUAAGCAGCCCUGCCAUGCCCUGAGAGCCUCUGAGUGGGAGGUGGGCAGCCACGGGUGGAGCCACCAGGCCCCAGCUCUGCCUGCCAGGGCCUGGUCCUCCAGGGCUUUCCUUGCGCGGCCCUAGCUCUGCUUCCUGGGGCCUGGUCCUCUGGGGCUUUCCCUGCGCGGCCUCCUGUCUGCCCGCGCUCCUGGCAGUCCUUGUCGGCCUCUCGCAGGCUGGUGCUGAGUCCUCCGGGACAAAUGCAGAUGGCUCCCGUCCCACUGCAGGGAUCGCUGGCUGGCGACACCCACACAGACGUGGCAGGUCUACCUCCACUCCCUGCAGCGCGUGGAUGUCUCCUGCGUCGCAGGCCAGCUGACCCGCCUGUCCCUUGUCCUUCGGGGGACGCAGACAGUGAGGAAAGUGAGAGCUUUCACCUCGCAUCCCCAGGAGCUGAAGGUACGGCCUCUCUGGGAGUUGUUCUGAGCCUCUCCCCAACCCCAGCCUGGAGACGGGCAGUGGGCAUUCAGCUGGGGCACAGUGGGUGGCCCUGACGGCAGCUUUUCCAGCGCCUCCAGCACUCAGACGCUGUUACCAGAGGCCUCUUGGCAGUUGCCUUUUGUUAGAUGUGCCAUUGUGGGGUGAGUGACGUACACACCAACCCCAAAGGCCAGUGUUCAGAAUUCCUGGCAAGGUGAACAGUGACAGGAGUUCUGGCGUUAGUGAAGCUACAGUUAGACGGGGUGGGAGGGCGGCCCCUGGUGCCACCAGCUGGCCAGGGUUUUAAGCCCGAGGUGGCUUCAGUUCUCUCUGCGGAGGCAGCGCUUAGGGAAUAGUCACCACGUGAGAGGAGGGACUUGCCAGGCGCGGACCCAAGCCGUGGCCACAGUGAUGUCAGGGUUGGUUGUGGCCUCAGAUUUGGCCGCCCCGGAACCACCCAUGACCUUGGGCUCCCCUGGCUGAUUGGGCUGCAGGUGCCCGGGAGCCCCUUGCUUGCACACCCUGAGAGGCUGUGCUCUGACCUGCCUCUCUUGCUCUUGAAGACAGAUCCCAAAGGUGUCUUCGUGCUCCCGCCUCGUGGGGUGCAGGACCUGCAUGUUGGCGUGAGGCCCCUCAGGGCCGGCAGCCGCUUCGUCCACCUCAACCUGGUGGACGUGGAUUGCCACCAGCUGGUGGCCUCCUGGCUCGUGUGCCUCUCCUGCCGCCAGCCGCUCAUCUCCAAGGUCUGUAUGUGUGACAGGCACAGGCUGAGGGGAUGGGGGCUCAAUACCAGGGCACUGCAGGACCCCCACCUCGGCCCUGUGACUCGGGCCACCUGGAUACAGUGUUCUGACCCAGCAGGGCUGGGUGCACGAGUGUUUGCUCCUGUGCUGUCUGUCUCCCGGAUGGAAGCUCCAGAGAGUGUCUGUCUUAUCUCUGUGGGGGUCCCCAUGCACGGUGCACAGGAGACUCAGGGAAUACUUGGAGGAAGGGCCAGUGGCUGUUUCCGCGAGUGGCCGCAGCAUCUCCCUGUCCCCUCCCUCCACAGGCCUUUGAGAUCACAUUGGCUGCGGGCGAAGGGAAGGGUGUCAACAAGAGGAUCACCUACACCAACCCCUACCCCUCCCGGAGGACGUUCCACCUUCACAGCGACCACCCGGAGCUGCUGCGGUUCAGGGAGGACUCCUUCCAGGUGUGGUGGGGCUGUGCCUGGGACUCCCAGGGGAAGCCCUGGGGACCUGAAUGGAGGGCAGUUAGCCUGCAUUUAGGAGCGAGUUCCUCGAAUCACCAGCAGUCUUCCAAAAGCCCCAGGGUGGUGACAGGUGCCAUCCCAUAGUUGGGUGGGCCUGUUGUCUCUUUAGUAGCUGGAGAUUUAGCAAAGUUUCUCCUGAGCGUGGGAAAGGGUGAUGUGCCCAGGGCUUUUCAUGGUAAUGUUAGACAGCUCAGUCUCGAAAAUAAGUGUGCCUCCGAGUCCAAGUAAUGUGUCACCCUGGCUGAGCACCGGUUCCCAUCCUUGUCCCGGGCGCUGAAGUCAAAGGCAGGCCUUGGAUGCACCCGCAGGGCUCCCCUGCCUUGUCAUUUCCCCUUGGAAAUAAACACGACUGUGCAGAGAGGUUGCUGGUGAGAUCGUGGGACAGCCUGGGGGUGGACGCUGGGAUUUGGAUGCUUAUUUCCAGGUCGGGGGUGGAGAGACCUACACCAUCGGCUUGCAGUUUGCGCCUAGUCAGAGAGUAGGGGAGGAGGAGAUCCUGAUCUACAUCAAUGACCAUGAGGACAAAAACGAAGAGGCAUUUUGCGUGAAGGUCAUCUACCAGUGAGGACUUGAGGGUGACGUCCUUCCUGCGGCACCCGGCUGGGGCCUGUCUGUGCCCCUCCUGCCCUGCAGGCCGUCCUCCCCGCGUCUCUGCAGCCUUUCACUUCAGUGCCCACCUGGCUGACCUGUGCACUUGGCUGAGGAAGCAGAGACCGAGCGCUGGUCAUUUUGUAGUACCUGCGUCCAGCUUAGCUGCUGCUGACACCCAGCAGGCCUGGGUUCCGUGAGCGUGGACUCCGUGGCGGUGGCUGUGGCUCUGGUGCUGCCAUCUAUGCAUGUGGGACCCUUGUUAUCUCUGUUGCUCAAAAUGUAUUUUAUGAAUCAUCCUAAAUGAUAAAAUUAUGUUUUUCUUACUGGAUUUUGUACAAACAUAAUCUAUUAUUUGCUAUGCAAUAUUUUAUGCUGGUAUUAUGUCUGUUUUUUAAAUGGUUGAACGAAAUACUAAACUUUUACACAUC
Molecule: small RNA, 4243 nt
Filed under: Pongo abelii (Sumatran orangutan)
Lineage: Eukaryota; Metazoa; Chordata; Mammalia; Primates; Hominidae
Description: retained intron
Source: RNAcentral